GCACUCCAUCCAGCCUGGGCAACAAGAGCGAAACUCCAUCUCAAAAAAAAAAAAAAAAAAAAAAGAAUAUGUAGUAAUGGUUAAGAGUCCACUGUGGAAUCAGCCUGCAUAGGUCCAAAUCCCAGCCCUGACUGAAUACCUGUGAACAAGUUAUAUCAGUGACUCAGGCUUAUUAUCUGUAAAAUGGGGAUUAUAGCAUUCCUGCCUCAUAGGGAUGUUAUGAGAUUUAAAUACCAAUAAGUCUGUACAUUAUAAACCUUAUCAGAUUGGUGUGGUGAAAAUGCUCAGUAACUGAGCCUCGUGAGCAUUAGAAUGUUGAGAUCAGCAUGAAGUUAGCCUGUAUACUGGGCAUACACAUUCUUCUGGAUUUGCUCCUUUUGUGAGCAAUCAAUGAUGAGCUAAAGGCAUUUGCUAACUAGUAGGAAUGAAAUAAGGUUUCAGACAGGAUCUUGGUGGGUGAUGUAGAUUUUAUCUGUCCCAUUUGUCCCAUUUCUCAACUGGAAGUGAGUCUGGCCUUGGUCUGCAUCUGUGCUCUCCCCUUCACAAAAGGCAGGCCCAGAGAGACUCCAGAGAUGGCCCCUGUCUCCUGUGUGUCCUCCGCCGCUGUGUCCACUUGGGCACGUCAAAGGAGGCCUUGAUGUGCAGACGCGAUGGGGCAACGAUGAGACCGAAUAAACAAUUGACAUCUAACCCCAGAAGAAGAGCAAGGACCUGGGACCCAGAAGGAAGAGGCUGUGAGAGGUACAAACUGCAGGCAUGGACAUGAUGCAUAUAGAGGACAGCCACACUAAGCUUUGAGGCUUCUGGAGGCAACACAGAGUAACCAUUUGAAUGGAAAUCACUGAACAGACACAGAGAAAGAGAAACCAUCCAAUGACUUGAGGGUGACACCAAGUUUGCCUGGUGGCCUCAGGACUCCUGGCUCACUGGUCCCACUGUCUCCCCCCGCCCAUCAGAAUACAUGAAGGCUGGUGGGGCACGGUGGCCCAUGUCUGUAAUCCCAACACUUUGGGAGGCCAAGGCGGGCAGAUCACCUGAGUUCGAGACCAGCCUGGCCAACAUGGUGAAACCUCGGCUCUACUAAAAAUACAAAAUUAGCUGAGUGUGGUGGCACAUGCCUGUAAUCCCAGCUACUCGGGAGGCUGAGGCAGGAGAAUCACUUGAACCCAGGAGGCUGAGGUUGCAGUGAGCUGGGAUCAUGCCACUGCACUCCAGCCUGGCGACAGAGUGAGACUCCAUCUCCAAAAAAAAAAAAAAAAAAAAUACGUGAAGGCUUUCCUACCACACCAUGCAUGUGGGACACGUCAGAGUGGGAAGCUCCAUGGAUCUACAGCAAGGCUGUUCGACUAAGAGUGAAUAAAUGGGUGAAUUCCAUGGGCUGAACAUGUCAGGAAUAUUUUCUUCUUAGGGCAGCGAUCUUAACUUCUGGAGAAAUUGAGUUCCUAAGCUGUAGAGCCUUAGAACCCUGGCAUACAUUUCUGUGGAGAAACAGAAAGCCCAGACAUCCCAGUCCACACACGUCUUUCUUCUGACCAACACCAGCCAUAGGAAGCAAGGCCCGGGAGAGCACUGGGGACAGGGCAUGUCCGCCCGGAGCAGGGCAGGAGAGCACAGGCAUGUGAUGCAGCCCUGGGUCUGUCGUCCCGUUUGCGCCGGGAAUGAAUCGGGUUUUUCUAGCCUCUAAGCACAGAGGUAUUUUUGACUCAGCACCGUGAAGAGACGACAAUAGCUCAGCUUCUGCCAGCUGCCCGAUUUAGACACGAGACCUUCACUACAUAUUUCUGUCUCUUGCCCUACUCAGAAGAAGGACUUAAAAAUCCCCCAAGACGGAACUGAGUUUUCCUCUGUUCAUUUUUUUAAAUUACACUACUUGAAGAACCCCAAACAAAUAAGGCUCUGGGCCUCCAAGACCAUGUAAUCCAUUGUGCUCGUGUGGAAGAGCUGCCCCCAGUAGAGGCAACAGGAAUGGCCUGGUCACUCAGCAGGUCCCCUGCCCAUCUUCCCACCACCCCUUGCCCCACCCACCGGGAAGGAGGAGGGAGCACAGGCUGCUUUGAGCAGUCAUCGUGCCUCUACCUGGAGCCUGUACUCACUGUCUUGGGGGCCGGUAUUUCCCAGGAGGGCUAUUGUGUGUUUCCUUGUCUGUUUCUCUUUCUGGAAUGCGAGCUGUUUCAAAAUGAACUGAAGAUCAUUCACCUCCACCCCUCAGCUCUCAGCAUAGAGGUGUGCACAGAGUACAUGCUCAGUAAAUGUUUAACAGAUA
RNAcentral lists this long non-coding RNA (2263 nucleotides) under Homo sapiens (human). Its description in RNAcentral is "HSALNT0305757". Lineage: Eukaryota; Metazoa; Chordata; Mammalia; Primates; Hominidae. The record is from RNAcentral.